RNAcentral lists this RNase P RNA (355 nucleotides) under human gut metagenome. Its description in RNAcentral is "Bacterial RNase P class A". It matches the Rfam family "Bacterial RNase P class A". Rfam says of the family: Ribonuclease P (RNase P) is a ubiquitous endoribonuclease, found in archaea, bacteria and eukarya as well as chloroplasts and mitochondria. The record is from RNAcentral. RNAcentral also lists the same sequence under 1 other name.
AGUGGAUCGGACAGUCGCGGCGGCAAGGCGAAAGCCUGCCGAUGAGGAAAGUCCGGGCUCCACAGGGCAAGGAUAACGGGUAACGCCCGCCGAAGGCGACUUCAGGACAAGUGCAACAGAGAUAUACCGCCCCGCUGUCAUUCCUCAGGGAGUGCGGCGGAGGCAAGGGUGGAAAGGUGAGGUAAGAGCUCACCCGAUGGCGCGGAAGCGUUCAUCGCUGUAAACUCUAUCCGGAGCAACACCGGUGUGGGGACGAUGGCUGGCCCGGCCGUCCCCGGGGUGGCUUGAGCGUGCCGGCAACGGUACGCCUAGAUAGAUGACUGUCAAGACAGAACCCGGCUUACAGAUCGGCUCG